UAACACCAGCGCCACAAGUGGCGAUCAUUUUUAUUGGGUCUAAAGCGUUCGUAGCCGGUUAAAUAAAUCUUUUGUGAAAUUGUUGGGCUUAACUCAACAACGUGCAGAAGACACUAUUUAACUAGGAACCGGGAGGAGUUAGAAGUAUUUCUGGGGGAGUGGUAAAAUAUGAUAAUCCCAGAAGGACUACCUGUGGCGAAGGCGUCUAACUAGAACGGGUUCGACGGUGAGGAACGAAGGCUAGGGGAGCGAAUCGGAUUAGAUACCCGAGUAGUCCUAGCAGUAAACUCUGUGAGCUAGAUGUUGCAUUCUUUUCGAAGUUUGCAGUGUCGAAACGAAGGUGUUAAGCUCACCACCUGGGAAGUACGGUCGCAAGGCUG
RNAcentral lists this ribosomal RNA (380 nucleotides) under uncultured archaeon. RNAcentral's name for it is "bacterial SSU rRNA". It matches the Rfam family "Archaeal small subunit ribosomal RNA", at positions 471 to 851 of the family's 1478-position model. The record is from RNAcentral.